UACGGAGGGUGCAAGCGUUAUCCGGAUUCACUGGGUUUAAAGGGUGCGUAGGUGGGUUGGUAAGUCAGUGGUGAAAUCUCCAGGCUUAACUUGGAAACUGCCAUUGAUACUAUCAAUCUUGAAUACCGUGGAGGUCAGCGGAAUAUGUCAUGUAGCGGUGAAAUGCUUAGAUAUGACAUAGAACACCAAUUGCGAAGGCAGCUGGCUACACGAAUAUUGACACUGAUGCGCGAAAGCGUGGGGAGCAAACAGG
RNAcentral lists this ribosomal RNA (253 nucleotides) under uncultured bacterium. RNAcentral's name for it is "partial 16S ribosomal RNA". It matches the Rfam family "Bacterial small subunit ribosomal RNA", at positions 524 to 776 of the family's 1533-position model. The record is from RNAcentral.